Molecule: non-coding RNA, 28 nt
Filed under: Bombyx mori (domestic silkworm)
Lineage: Eukaryota; Metazoa; Arthropoda; Insecta; Lepidoptera; Bombycidae
Source: RNAcentral
GACUCAUUGGAUGUAUGGGAUGUCGCGC